AUUUUCUCCUCUGUGUAACUCGGUGUGAAAGUCCGGGGGAUGGAGAUCCGUAUCCGAUUUGUGGCAGGGCCCACAAGGAGAGAGGAGUACCCCAUGCAGGCGAAUCGCCUCGUUUUGUCUGCAGAGCCAAGAGAGGCUGAAGUUGGCUGCAGGACAGUUUUCAGCGUCCGAGGAUGGGGUGGCCGGUCAGGCAGACCUGCCCCGCAGGAUGUUCCCGGGAGCAAGCAGUGAGCCCGCCCGCCCCCACGCUCCCUGCCCGGGCGCCCAGCGUGGAGGCUCCCCUGGUCUCCCCACACGGCCGGGGCCUCGCCCCAGCCCCAGCGCAGCCCCUCACCAGCUCCCAGAAACCGGUGAGAAGCAGCCCAUAGCUUGUUACCUGUUUAUCCGAAGGACAGAUCGGUGCUCAAGAAAGGUGGCGACACGGAGGCCCAGAGUGAGGAAGUCAUGUAUUCAAGGUGGCAGAGCUGGGAUUUGUAUAUCAUCUCUGUACCUGAGCCCCUAACCUGCAAGUCAUAAUAGGCAACGGAUCAAUGUUAUGAUGCAGUGGAGGCCCUUACCAGAAGCCAACCAGAUGCCAGCACCAUGCUCUUGGAUUUCCCAGUCUCCAGAAUGGUGCAGGUGGAGACGGAACCCUAGACACUGCUCAUCCCAAUCAGGCCCUUUCCAGGCCUGUCCCAUUCCAAUCGGGCAUCAGAUGUGGCAUUGAUCAUCAUCUACUUAACAAACGAGGCUCCCCUUUCAAUGCACUUGGGUCUCCUCUGGGCCAACCUUGGUUCUGAGAUAGCAGGUGCUGAAAUACUGCUGAAUCCUCAAAGCCAGACUAGCCAGUGCCUGGCACCUGAUGGGAAUAUGAUUUCAACGAACAGAAAUGAAGAGACCACCCAGAAAUACAGACCCAGCCUUUCAUUCUCUUAUAUUCCUUAUGUCCAACAUUUAUUGGGCCCUUACCAUGUGCUCCAUAUGGUGCUGGGUCCUGGGAGUUGGAGUUACAAACAACUAAGAUGACAGACUUUGCUCCAAGUAGGGAUUCUUGGCUCUCAGCCCCAUGGAGAAAGUCUCCUUAUCACCUUUCUGCACAGGGGAGGAAAUCGAGAUCAAAAAAGUUAAGAGACUGAGUUAAG
Molecule: long non-coding RNA, 1121 nt
Filed under: Homo sapiens (human)
Lineage: Eukaryota; Metazoa; Chordata; Mammalia; Primates; Hominidae
Description: non-protein coding LINC01081:2
Source: RNAcentral